GGUCAAGUGAAGAAGCGCAUACGGUGGAUGCCUUGGCAGUCAGGCGAUGAAAGACGUGGUAGCCUGCGAAAAGCUUCGGGGAGUCGGCAAACAGACUUUGAUCCGGAGAUGUCUGAAUGGGGGAACCCAGCCAUCAUAAGAUGGUUAUCUUGUACUGAAUACAUAGGUGCAAGAGGCGAACCAGGGGAACUGAAACAUCUAAGUACCCUGAGGAAAAGAAAUCAACCGAGAUUCCCUUAGUAGUGGCGAGCGAACGGGGACUAGCCCUUAAGUGGCUUUGAGAUUAGCGGAACGCUCUGGAAAGUGCGGCCAUAGUGGGUGAUAGCCCUGUACGCGAAAAUCUCUUAGUCAUGAAAUCGAGUAGGACGGAGCACGAGAAACUUUGUCUGAAUAUGGGGGGACCAUCCUCCAAGGCUAAAUACUACUGACUGACCGAUAGUGAACUAGUACCGUGAGGGAAAGGCGAAAAGAACCCCGGAGAGGGGUGAAAUAGAUCCUGAAACCGUAUGCGUACAAGCAGUGGGAGCCCACUUUGUUGGGUGACUGCGUACCUUUUGUAUAAUGGGUCAGCGACUUAUUUUCAGUGGCGAGCUUAACCGAAUAGGGGAGGCGUAGCGAAAGCGAGUCUUAAUAGGGCGUCUAGUCGCUGGGAAUAGACCCGAAACCGGGCGAUCUAUCCAUGGGCAGGUUGAAGGUUGGGUAACACUAACUGGAGGACCGAACCGACUACCGUUGAAAAGUUAGCGGAUGACCUGUGGAUCGGAGUGAAAGGCUAAUCAAGCUCGGAGAUAGCUGGUUCUCCUCGAAAGCUAUUUAGGUAGCGCCUCAUGUAUCACUGUAGGGGGUAGAGCACUGUUUCGGCUAGGGGGUCAUCCCGACUUACCAAACCGAUGCAAACUCCGAAUACCUACAAGUGCCGAGCAUGGGAGACACACGGCGGGUGCUAACGUCCGUCGUGAAAAGGGAAACAACCCAGACCGUCAGCUAAGGUCCCAAAGUUAUGGUUAAGUGGGAAACGAUGUGGGAAGGCUUAGACAGCUAGGAGGUUGGCUUAGAAGCAGCCACCCUUUAAAGAAAGCGUAAUAGCUCACUAGUCGAGUCGGCCUGCGCGGAAGAUGUAACGGGGCUCAAACCAUACACCGAAGCUACGGGUAUCACUUAGGUGAUGCGGUAGAGGAGCGUUCUGUAAGCCUGUGAAGGUGAGUUGAGAAGCUUGCUGGAGGUAUCAGAAGUGCGAAUGCUGACAUGAGUAACGACAAUGGGUGUGAAAAACACCCACGCCGAAAGACCAAGGUUUCCUGCGCAACGUUAAUCGACGCAGGGUUAGUCGGUCCCUAAGGCGAGGCUGAAAAGCGUAGUCGAUGGAAAACAGGUUAAUAUUCCUGUACUUCUGGUUAUUGCGAUGGAGGGACGGAGAAGGCUAGGCCAGCUUGGCGUUGGUUGUCCAAGUUUAAGGUGGUAGGCUGAGAUCUUAGGUAAAUCCGGGAUCUUAAGGCCGAGAGCUGAUGACGAGUUACCCUUUGGGUGACGAAGUGGUUGAUGCCAUGCUUCCAAGAAAAGCUUCUAAGCUUCAGGUAACCAGGAACCGUACCCCAAACCGACACAGGUGGUUGGGUAGAGAAUACCAAGGCGCUUGAGAGAACUCGGGUGAAGGAACUAGGCAAAAUGGCACCGUAACUUCGGGAGAAGGUGCGCCGGUGAGGGUGAAGCACUUGCUGCGUAAGCCCACGCCGGUCGAAGAUACCAGGCCGCUGCGACUGUUUAUUAAAAACACAGCACUCUGCAAACACGAAAGUGGACGUAUAGGGUGUGACGCCUGCCCGGUGCCGGAAGGUUAAUUGAUGGGGUUAGCUAACGCGAAGCUCUUGAUCGAAGCCCCGGUAAACGGCGGCCGUAACUAUAACGGUCCUAAGGUAGCGAAAUUCCUUGUCGGGUAAGUUCCGACCUGCACGAAUGGCGUAACGAUGGCGGCGCUGUCUCCACCCGAGACUCAGUGAAAUUGAAAUCGCUGUGAAGAUGCAGUGUAUCCGCGGCUAGACGGAAAGACCCCGUGAACCUUUACUAUAGCUUUGCACUGGACUUUGAAUUUGCUUGUGUAGGAUAGGUGGGAGGCUUUGAAGCGUGGACGCCAGUUCGCGUGGAGCCAUCCUUGAAAUACCACCCUGGCAACUUUGAGGUUCUAACUCAGGUCCGUUAUCCGGAUCGAGGACAGUGUAUGGUGGGUAGUUUGACUGGGGCGGUCUCCUCCUAAAGAGUAACGGAGGAGUACGAAGGUGCGCUCAGACCGGUCGGAAAUCGGUCGUAGAGUAUAAAGGCAAAAGCGCGCUUGACUGCGAGACAGACACGUCGAGCAGGUACGAAAGUAGGUCUUAGUGAUCCGGUGGUUCUGUAUGGAAGGGCCAUCGCUCAACGGAUAAAAGGUACUCCGGGGAUAACAGGCUGAUACCGCCCAAGAGUUCAUAUCGACGGCGGUGUUUGGCACCUCGAUGUCGGCUCAUCACAUCCUGGGGCUGAAGCCGGUCCCAAGGGUAUGGCUGUUCGCCAUUUAAAGUGGUACGCGAGCUGGGUUUAGAACGUCGUGAGACAGUUCGGUCCCUAUCUGCCGUGGACGUUUGAGAUUUGAGAGGGGCUGCUCCUAGUACGAGAGGACCGGAGUGGACGAACCUCUGGUGUUCCGGUUGUCACGCCAGUGGCAUUGCCGGGUAGCUAUGUUCGGAAAAGAUAACCGCUGAAAGCAUCUAAGCGGGAAACUUGCCUCAAGAUGAGAUCUCACUGGGACCUUGAGUCCCCUGAAGGGCCGUCGAAGACUACGACGUUGAUAGGUGGGGUGUGUAAGCGCUGUGAGGCGUUGAGCUAACCCAUACUAAUUGCCCGUGAGGCUUGACCAU
RNAcentral lists this ribosomal RNA (2888 nucleotides) under Pseudomonas sp. FP1154. Its description in RNAcentral is "23S ribosomal RNA". It matches the Rfam family "Bacterial large subunit ribosomal RNA". The record is from RNAcentral. Lineage: Bacteria; Pseudomonadati; Pseudomonadota; Gammaproteobacteria; Pseudomonadales; Pseudomonadaceae.